Molecule: unclassified non-coding RNA, 273 nt
Filed under: Veronaeopsis sp.
Lineage: Eukaryota; Fungi; Ascomycota; Dothideomycetes; Venturiales; Sympoventuriaceae
Description: partial contains 5.8S ribosomal RNA, internal transcribed spacer 2, and large subunit ribosomal RNA
Rfam family: 5.8S ribosomal RNA (bases 1-71)
Source: RNAcentral
GUGAGUCAUCGAAUCUUUGAACGCACAUUGCGCCCACUGGUAUUCCGGUGGGCACGCCUGUCCGAGCGCCAUUACACCCCCCAAGCUUUGCUUGAUGUUGGGCGAUGCCUAGGCACGCCCCAAACCUCUGGGCGCCUGCCGCCGGCCGCUAGCGUAGCAAAUCUACUCGUUAGCGUGUCCGUCGGGAGGCCGCCCCCGAAUUUUACUCUUACAGUUUGGCCUCGGAUCAGGCGGGGAUACCCGCUGAACUUAAGCAUAUCAAUAAGCGGAGGA